This 254-nucleotide ribosomal RNA is filed under the name uncultured bacterium. Its description in RNAcentral is "partial 16S ribosomal RNA". It matches the Rfam family "Bacterial small subunit ribosomal RNA", at positions 524 to 777 of the family's 1533-position model. The record is from RNAcentral.
UACAGAGGUCUCAAGCGUUGUUCGGAUUCAUUGGGCGUAAAGGGUGCGUAGGUGGCGCCGUAAGUCGGGCGUGAAAUCCCUAGGCUCAACCUAGGAACUGCACUCGAAACUGUUUAUCUUGAGUGCCGGAGAGGAAAGCGGAAUUCCUGGUGUAGCGGUGAAAUGCGUAGAUAUUGGGAGGAACACCAGUGGCGAAGGCGGCUCACUGGACCGGUACUGACGCUGAGGCGCGAAAGCGUGGGGAGCAAACGGGG